AAAAGCCUACUAUGCUCUGAACGCGCAGC
RNAcentral lists this non-coding RNA (29 nucleotides) under Cricetulus griseus (Chinese hamster). The record is from RNAcentral. Lineage: Eukaryota; Metazoa; Chordata; Mammalia; Rodentia; Cricetidae.